GUGCUUGCUUCAGCAGCACAUAUGCUAAAACUGGAAUAAUGCAGAGAAGAUGCACAUGGCCCCUUGUGCAAGGAUGACAUGCAAAUUCGUGAAGCAUUCCAUAUUUUU
This is a small nuclear RNA of Zalophus californianus (California sea lion), 108 nucleotides long. The record is from Ensembl. Lineage: Eukaryota; Metazoa; Chordata; Mammalia; Carnivora; Otariidae.